Molecule: ribosomal RNA, 35 nt
Filed under: Metarhizium pemphigi
Lineage: Eukaryota; Fungi; Ascomycota; Sordariomycetes; Hypocreales; Clavicipitaceae
Description: partial 18S ribosomal RNA
Source: RNAcentral
UGUUUCCGAUAGGUGAACCUGCGGAGGGAUCAUUA